RNAcentral lists this ribosomal RNA (446 nucleotides) under uncultured bacterium. Its description in RNAcentral is "bacterial SSU rRNA". It matches the Rfam family "Bacterial small subunit ribosomal RNA", at positions 330 to 792 of the family's 1533-position model. The record is from RNAcentral.
GCCAGACUCCUACGGGAGGCAGCAGUGGGGAAUAUUGCGCAAUGGGGGAAACCCUGACGCAGCAACGCCGCGUGAGUGAGGAAGUAUCUCGGUAUGUAAAGCUCUAUCAGCGGGGAAGAAGGAAGACGGUACCCGACUAAGAAGCCCCGGCUAACUACGUGCCAGCAGCCGCGGUAAUACGUAGGGGGCAAGCGUUAUCCGGAUUUACUGGGUGUAAAGGGAGCGUAGACGGCAUGGCAAGUCUGAUGUGAAAACCCGGGGCUCAACCCCGGGACUGCCCUUGGAACUGCAUGGCUGGAGUGCGGGAGGGGCAGGCGGAAUUCCUGGUGUAGCGGUGAAAUGCGUAGAUAUCAGGAGGAACACCGGCGGCGAAGGCGGCCUGCUGGACCGCGACUGACGUUGAGGCUCGAAAGCGUGGGGAGCGAACAGGAUUAGAUACCCGUGUA